This 1301-nucleotide ribosomal RNA is filed under the name Pestalotiopsis sp. RNAcentral's name for it is "partial large subunit ribosomal RNA". It matches the Rfam family "Eukaryotic large subunit ribosomal RNA", at positions 86 to 1412 of the family's 3401-position model. Lineage: Eukaryota; Fungi; Ascomycota; Sordariomycetes; Amphisphaeriales; Sporocadaceae. The record is from RNAcentral.
ACGGCGAGUGAAGCGGCAACAGCUCAAAUUUGAAAUCUGGCCCUCGGGUCCGAAUUGUAAUUUGUAGAGGAUGAUUUUGGUGCGGUAUCUUCCGAGUUCCUUGGAACAGGACGCCUUAGAGGGUGAGAGCCCCGUACGGUUGAAUGCCUAGCCUCUGUAAAUCUCCUUCGACGAGUCGAGUAGUUUGGGAAUGCUGCUCUAAAUGGGAGGUAAAUUUCUUCUAAAGCUAAAUAUUGGCCAGAGACCGAUAGCGCACAAGUAGAGUGAUCGAAAGAUGAAAAGCACUUUGAAAAGAGGGUUAAAUAGCACGUGAAAUUGUUGAAAGGGAAGGAUUUGUGACCAGACUUUUUCUGGGCGGAUCAUCCGGGGUUCUCUCCGGUGCACUUUGCCCAGUAAAGGCCAGCAUCGAUUUUCGGCGGCGGAUAAAAGCAGUGGGAAUGUGGCUCCCUACGGGGAGUGUUAUAGCCCAUUGUAUAAUACGCUGCUGGGGAUCGAGGUACGCGCUUCUGCAAGGAUGCUGGCGUAAUGGUUAUCAAUCACCCGUCUUGAAACACGGACCAAGGAGUCGAACAUUUAUGCGAGUGUUUGGGUGUUAAACCCUCACGCGUAAUGAAAGUGAACGGAGGUGAGAGCCCGUACGGGUGCAUCAUCGACCGAUCCUGAAGUUUUCGGAUGGAUUUGAGUAAGAGCAUAACUGUUCGGACCCGAAAGAUGGUGAACUAUGCGUGGAUAGGGUGAAGCCAGAGGAAACUCUGGUGGAGGCUCGCAGCGGUUCUGACGUGCAAAUCGAUCGUCAAAUCUGCGCAUGGGGGCGAAAGACUAAUCGAACCAUCUAGUAGCUGGUUACCGCCGAAGUUUCCCUCAGGAUAGCAGUGUUGUCUUCAGUUUUAUGAGGUAAAGCGAAUGAUUAGGGACUCGGGGGCGCUUUUUAGCCUUCAUCCAUUCUCAAACUUUAAAUAUGUAAGAAGCCCUUGUUACUUAAUUGAACGUGGGCAUUCGAAUGUACCAACACUAGUGGGCCAUUUUUGGUAAGCAGAACUGGCGAUGCGGGAUGAACCGAACGCGGGGUUAAGGUGCCGGAGUGGACGCUCAUCAGACACCACAAAAGGUGUUAGUACAUCUUGACAGCAGGACGGUGGCCAUGGAAGUCGGAAUCCGCUAAGGACUGUGUAACAACUCACCUGCCGAAUGUACUAGCCCUGAAAAUGGAUGGCGCUCAAGCGUCCCACCCAUACCUCGCCCUCAGGGUAGAAAUGAUGCCCUGAGGAGUAGGCGGCCGUGGAGGUCAGUGACGAAGCCUA